ACGCACGCUGGCGGCGUGCUUCACACAUGCCAGUCGCACGGUGAAGCUCCAGCUUGCUGGAGUGGAUCAGUGGCGAACGGGUGAGUAACACGUGAGCAACCUGCCCCUGACUCUGGAAUAAGCGCUGGAAACGGCGUCUAAUACUGGAUACGAGAAGGGCCCGCAUGGGCACUUUCUGGAAAGUUUUUCGGUUGGGGAUGGGCUCGCGGCCUAUCAGCUUGUUGGUGAGGUAAUGGCUCACCAAGGCGACGACGGGUAGCCGGCCUGAGAGGGCGACCGGCCACACUGGGACUGAGACACGGCCCAGACUCCUACGGGAGGCAGCAGUGGGGAAUAUUGCACAAUGGGCGAAAGCCUGAUGCAGCGACGCCGCGUGAGGGAUGACGGCCUUCGGGUUGUAAACCUCUUUCAGCAGGGAAGAAGCGAAAGUGACGGUACCUGCAGAAGAAGCACCGGCUAACUACGUG
This 467-nucleotide ribosomal RNA is filed under the name uncultured bacterium. RNAcentral's name for it is "partial 16S ribosomal RNA". It matches the Rfam family "Bacterial small subunit ribosomal RNA", at positions 29 to 507 of the family's 1533-position model. The record is from RNAcentral.